AACGCACGAGACCUGCGGACCUGCGGAGGGAUCAUUACAGGACUCGCAAGACUCCCGUAACCACUGUGAAUCUUACCUAUUGUUGCCUCGGCGGGUGCUGGUCCUCCAGCGCUCCGCCCGCCGACGGCCCACAACUCGUUGUCUUUUUCUAAGCAUCUCCGAGCAAAAUACAAACGAAUCAAAACUUUCAGCAACGGAUCUCU
Molecule: unclassified non-coding RNA, 203 nt
Filed under: soil metagenome
Description: partial contains 5.8S ribosomal RNA, internal transcribed spacer 2, and large subunit ribosomal RNA
Source: RNAcentral